Molecule: ribosomal RNA, 497 nt
Filed under: uncultured bacterium
Lineage: Bacteria
Description: partial 16S ribosomal RNA
Rfam family: Bacterial small subunit ribosomal RNA
Source: RNAcentral
GAUGAACGCUGGCGGCGUGCCUAAUACAUGCAAGUCGAGCGAACAGACGAGGAGCUUGCUCCUCUGACGUUAGCGGCGGACGGGUGAGUAACACGUGGAUAACCUACCUAUAAGACUGGGAUAACUUCGGGAAACCGGAGCUAAUACCGGAUAAUAUAUUGAACCGCAUGGUUCAAUAGUGAAAGACGGUUUUGCUAUCACUUAUAGAUGGAUCCGCGCCGCAUUAGCUAGUUGGUAAGGUAACGGCUUACCAAGGCAACGAUGCGUAGCCGACCUGAGAGGGUGAUCGGCCACACUGGAACUGAGACACGGUCCAGACUCCUACGGGAGGCAGCAGUAGGGAAUCUUCCGCAAUGGGCGAAAGCCUGACGGAGCAACGCCGCGUGAGUGAUGAAGGUCUUCGGAUCGUAAAACUCUGUUAUUAGGGAAGAACAAAAGUGUAAGUAACUAUGCACGUCUUGACGGUACCUAAUCAGAAAGCCACGGCUAACUACGUG